This 264-nucleotide ribosomal RNA is filed under the name uncultured Glomeromycotina. RNAcentral describes it as "partial 18S ribosomal RNA". It matches the Rfam family "Eukaryotic small subunit ribosomal RNA", at positions 619 to 888 of the family's 1831-position model. The record is from RNAcentral. Lineage: Eukaryota; Fungi; Glomeromycota.
UUAAAAAGCUCGUAGUUGAAUUUCGGGACCAAUACGUCGGUCGUGCUUAGGUACGUACUGGCGUAAUUGAUUUCUCCCUUCUGACGAACCAUGAUGUCAUUAACUUGGUGUCAUGGGAAAUCAGGACUGUUACUUUGAAAAAAUUAGAGUGUUUAAAGCAGGCUCACGCUUGAAUACAUUAGCAUGGAAUAAUGAAAUAGGACGUUCGAUCCUAUUUUGUUGGUUUUUAGGAUCAACGUAAUGAUUAAUAGGGAUAGUUGGGGG